This is an RNA transcript of Wyeomyia smithii (pitcher-plant mosquito), 2951 nucleotides long. It is a transcript of the gene named serine/threonine-protein kinase TBK1, with no coding region annotated. The transcript is spliced from 6 exons. NCBI's taxonomy places the organism in Eukaryota, Metazoa, Arthropoda, Insecta, Diptera, Culicidae. The record is from RefSeq and is a predicted model, not a curated record.
GUCAAUAUGUUUUCAUUCGGAGCCAGGUAAAGUUCCUGAAAUUUUACUUUUUGCUGAUGGCGAAAAUGAUCAAAACAUAGUUUUUAUCAGUUUGGUCUGAAUACUGGCUUUAACAAGUGUUUUGUUAAUCAAAGGUGAAAAUAUUAGUUCGAAGUGCUAUCCGUUGAAAUUCGCUCACGAAAUAUUUUUGCAACGCAGCAGGAGAAAAAACAUUCCCGUUAUUUCGUCAUAAUGAAUUCCUUUCUAAGAGGAUCCACCAACUAUGUUUGGUGUACGACAAGCGUCCUAGGCAAAGGAGCAACUGGUGCGGUAUUCCAAGGUGUGAAUAAACACAAUGGGGAACCAGUUGCCGUGAAAACCUUCAACCAGCUCAGCCAUAUGAGACCUCACGACGUACAGAUGAGGGAGUUCGAGGUGCUCCGGAAGGUCAAACAUAACAAUAUUGUUAAGCUGUUGGAUAUUGAGGAUGAUCAAGAAGGGCGGGGUAAGGUGAUCGUUAUGGAGCUCUGUACUGGUGGAAGUUUGUUUAACAUACUGGACGACCCGGAGAAUACAUAUGGAUUACCACAGCGCGAGUUCCUGUUAGUGCUGGAACAUCUUUCGGCAGGUAUGAAACAUUUGCGAGAUAAUAAUCUAGUUCAUCGAGAUUUAAAGCCUGGAAACAUAAUGAAGUACAUCUCGGAAGAUGGUCAGACAAUAUACAAGCUGACGGACUUUGGAGCUGCCCGAGAGCUAGAGGAGAAUCAGCAGUUUGUGUCGCUAUACGGCACGGAAGAGUACCUUCACCCAGAUAUGUAUGAGAGAGCCGUGCUUCGGAAAUCGAUUAACCGAAGUUUCACCGCUAAUGUUGAUUUGUGGUCUAUCGGAGUAACACUGUAUCACGUGGCUACCGGUAAUCUUCCCUUCCGUCCCUAUGGGGGACGCAAAAAUAAGGAAACGAUGCACCACAUAACCACCAAGAAAGCACCUGGUGUUAUAUCUGGUACUCAAACUAGCGAAAAUGGGCCAAUCGAAUGGUCUCGUCAGCUACCUCCCCACUGUCAACUGAAGGCUGGAUUAAAGUAUCUAGUAACGCCGCUCUUGGCUGGACUCUUGGAAGAAAAUCAAAAAAGGAUGUGGUCUUUUGAUCGCUUUUUCUACGAAGUCCAGCAUAUUUUGAACAAAAAGCGCAUUCACAUUUUCUACGUUAAUAGAGCUACUUCCAUUGAGGUCUAUAUGGAUCCAGACGAAACCUGCUUUAACUUAAAAGAGCACAUUUUCGUUCAAACCGAGGUACCCCAUAGUGCCCAGCGGCUGCUGAUGGACACCGAGUUGCAUGAACUUCGUGUGGGUACAAAUAGUACUGCUCGCGGUUAUCCGGACAAUGAGGUUGAAACUCCUCUGAUGCUAUUUAAUAUUGAAAAUAACAACGUGACACUUCCAGCUGAGCUUGAGCUGCCUAAGUUUCCAUCGUUUCCCAGCGGAGUGUCUGUGGAGAACGAUGCUAGUCUGGCAAAGGUCGCCUGCAGUGUGGGUCACGAGUGUAAGCGUCGCAUAGAAACCUUUUCCAGUUUGGACACACUCAUGAACAAGGCCGUGGAACAGUUUGCAGGGCUGCUGAAAAAUCUACUGGUUAAACUGCAGGAACGGGUAAAACAUCAUGAGGAUAUUGGUAAUUCCAUUUGGGAAAUGACCGAUUUGAUGGAAAUCGCGGUGUUGAACAAUGAGUCCUAUCAGGAUAAAGCAACUACAAUCAGCACGGAAUUAAAUGUACUGAAAGCAGAUUUUCAGCGCGUAUCGGAUCCAGUCCAGCAACUUUUUACUCGCUUUGUUUCGGAGGAAUCGCUCAGCCGUCAGUGGACUACGGCAUGCCGAGAGGUGCGCGGUCCAAAUAAACACCGCGUGAUUGAAAAGGCAAAAUAUCUGGUGGACCGCUUACGCGACUCCUGGCAGCAUUUGCUGCGCGAUCGUGCCACGCGAUCCCUAACGUACAAUGACGAGCAGUUCCAUGCACUGGAGAAAAUCAAAAUUACCGAAACCGGAAAGCGAGUGAAGACAUUGCUGAACGAUGACGUGCGCCCCGCCGUCGAAACCGAGGCUGAACAUUUGGCGGACUGGUAUAAAAAAGCCCAAACUAUCUAUCUACAGAUACAGUUUCUUCACAAGGAUGUCAGAUCGCACGAGGAAACGCUCUACGAUAUUCGUGACCGGUUGGUCCAGAUCAAAGAAGAUUUGAAGGAGGAUAUCAAGAACGAUGGGGAGGUAUCCAAGAUUGCCAACGAAACCACUGUGAACGAGCAGAACAUCGAGUGCAUGAAGAAAUCUAAGGAAAUGCAAUGCUAUUUGAGGACUUUGUUCAACUAUCAUCGUGAAAUCAAGAAGAUCAUGCAACAAAACAGCGAACUGGUCGAAGCAGUUCAUCAAAUAUCUAUGAACAGGGAGGAAGAUAGUUAAAGAUUGACCGGUUUGAUAACUAAGCAAAAAAUACUGAUAGCGGCAAUGUAAGUGGUGUACUUAAUCAUAGCGAAGUAUGUGUUGCGAUUAUCAUCUAUCAAGAAAGGUACCUCGCAACAUGAAUUUAUAUUUUCUGACAAAACAGUUGUUCAUCAAACGUAUAGAGCGUCGUUCACCAGUUGCAGUGAUGACCCUUUCGAUUCAUGUUACAUACCGUUACUUUAGACCAACAUGAAAGUAUUGCUGAAAUAUUCCUUGACUCUAUAUAUUAUAGUCAACCACCCUUAUUUUUGUUUACGACCGUAUCCAACUUUCGUACGCGUGUUUCGAGUUAAACAACCUUGAAAAUUCCUAUUUUUGAUUAAUCCGAAUUUAUUUGAACAACCAGAUAUAAGAGCUUACAAUAAUUUCGUACGAAGUUGGUUCGAACGAACACAUGAAAAGGGUGAAUAUUCCUAACCUAUGUUAUUUGUAUUAUUUUUAAAAUGCGAAAAUAAAUUUCAUAUAAUAAUGCCAAA